ACGGGGAGCAGCCCAGAGCCUGAAUCAGUGUGUGUGUUAGUGGAAGCGUCUGGAAAGGCGCGCGAUACAGGGUGACAGCCCCGUACACAAAAAUGCACAUACUGUGAGCUCGAUGAGUAGGGCGGGACACGUGGUAUCCUGUCUGAAUAUGGGGGGACCAUCCUCCAAGGCUAAAUACUCCUGACUGACCGAUAGUGAACCAGUACCGUGAGGGAAAGGCGAAAAGAACCCCGGCGAGGGGAGUGAAAAAGAACCUGAAACCGUGUACGUACAAGCAGUGGGAGCACAGAGCAAUCUGUGUGACUGCGUACCUUUUGUAUAAUGGGUCAGCGACUUAUAUUCUGUAGCAAGGUUAACCGAAUAGGGGAGCCGAAGGGAAACCGAGUCUUAACUGGGCGUUAAGUUGCAGGGUAUAGACCCGAAACCCGGUGAUCUAGCCAUGGGCAGGUUGAAGGUUGGGUAACACUAACUGGAGGACCGAACCGACUAAUGUUGAAAAAUUAGCGGAUGACUUGUGGCUGGGGGUGAAAGGCCAAUCAAACCGGGAGAUAGCUGGUUCUCCCCGAAAGCUAUUUAGGUAGCGCCUCGUGAAUUCAUCUCCGGGGGUAGAGCACUGUUUCGGCAAGGGGGUCAUCCCGACUUACCAACCCGAUGCAAACUGCGAAUACCGGAGAAUGUUAUCACGGGAGACACACGGCGGGUGCUAACGUCCGUCGUGAAGAGGGAAACAACCCAGACCGCCAGCUAAGGUCCCAAAGUCAUGGUUAAGUGGGAAACGAUGUGGGAAGGCCCAGACAGCCAGGAUGUUGGCUUAGAAGCAGCCAUCAUUUAAAGAAAGCGUAAUAGCUCACUGGUCGAGUCGGCCUGCGCGGAAGAUGUAACGGGGCUAAACCAUGCACCGAAGCUGCGGCAGCGACGCUGAUGCGUUGUUGGGUAGGGGAGCGUUCUGUAAGCCUGUGAAGGUGUACUGUGAGGUAUGCUGGAGGUAUCAGAAGUGCGAAUGCUGACAUAAGUAACGAUAAAGCGGGUGAAAAGCCCGCUCGCCGGAAGACCAAGGGUUCCUGUCCAACGUUAAUCGGGGCAGGGUGAGUCGACCCCUAAGGCGAGGCCGAAAGGCGUAGUCGAUGGGAAACAGGUUAAUAUUCCUGUACUUGGUGUUACUGCGAAGGGGGGACGGAGAAGGCUAUGUUGGCCGGGCGACGGUUGUCCCGGUUUAAGCGUGUAGGCUGGUUUUCCAGGCAAAUCCGGAAAAUCAAGGCUGAGGCGUGAUGACGAGGCACUACGGUGCUGAAGCAACAAAUGCCCUGCUUCCAGGAAAAGCCUCUAAGCAUCAGGUAACAUCAAAUCGUACCCCAAACCGACACAGGUGGUCAGGUAGAGAAUACCAAGGCGCUUGAGAGAACUCGGGUGAAGGAACUAGGCAAAAUGGUGCCGUAACUUCGGGAGAAGG
RNAcentral lists this ribosomal RNA (1450 nucleotides) under Escherichia coli. RNAcentral's name for it is "partial 23S ribosomal RNA". It matches the Rfam family "Bacterial large subunit ribosomal RNA", at positions 290 to 1746 of the family's 2925-position model. Lineage: Bacteria; Pseudomonadati; Pseudomonadota; Gammaproteobacteria; Enterobacterales; Enterobacteriaceae. The record is from RNAcentral.